Molecule: long non-coding RNA, 898 nt
Organism: Hyla sarda
Lineage: Eukaryota; Metazoa; Chordata; Amphibia; Anura; Hylidae
Exons: 3
Source: RefSeq, a predicted model, not a curated record
CAUUGAGGAUAGUGCUGAAGUCCUGAACACGUGCUGAGGCAAUGUUACGUGCCAAGAUGUCUGCUGCCGUACCUGAAAGGGUUAAUCUAUUGGUAGAAAAGCGUGCAAAAGGAUCCCGCCAAAGCCAGCAUCCCCCCCCCCCUAGGGUAAUUCCAUCUGCCCUGCAUAGUCACACCCCAUACCACAAAUAUUCAUCCCCUCCCUCCAACUGUUCAUCCCCUCCCCGCUCUGUACUGGACCUCACUGAGGGAGGGGGGGGAUGAAUAUCCAUAAGCCGGGCGGCGCUGGGGACGAGCGGCGCUGACGUCAGAGUGCAAGAAGGAGCCUUGUAACCCCACCUGUGACAGUUAGCAGCUAAUUUGCAUAUCCAGAAGAAUGAAGAUAACAGGUGAAUGGCAGAGGCGGAUCCAGGCAUGAUAGGCAGCAUAUUGAUCAGCGUCCACCCAGUACCUCUGCACUGGGCUAUAGAGCUGUUUUCUAGUCUCCUAUGCCUCCAGCUACACCCUUUGGUGUGGAACCAGGAUAGCAGAAAUCUAGUCACUGGAUUAAGUUAAAGUUGUUCAAUUUACAGUUAAAAUUCAGGAUUCGACAGGUUCGCUCUAAACAUUACCAAGAGAACAAAAGAUAGAGAAGGAGGAGGACUACCAUCUACGACAUACUUACACCAUUUAUAAAACAAUAAUUAAAAAAAUCGGCACUUUACAAAAAUACUUGUAUCUCAAGAUGGGAAAAAAAUGUUUGCACAAACCAGAUGAGAAGUAUCGGGCGGACUAAUUAAUUAGUGGUCAGAGAUAGCAGUGUUAGGACUGUGCUGCUUAUCUUAUUAUGUUGAUGUUGCAUACUUUCGAGUCAGUGAUUAAUCAAAGACUUAUGAUAGCUUUAAAGCACAAAAAAAAAA